Molecule: ribosomal RNA, 243 nt
Filed under: uncultured bacterium
Lineage: Bacteria
Description: partial small subunit ribosomal RNA
Rfam family: Bacterial small subunit ribosomal RNA
Source: RNAcentral
AGAAUCAACGCUGGCGGCGUGCCUAACACAUGCAAGUCGAACGAGAAAGUGGUAGCAAUACCAUGAGUAAAGUGGCGCACGGGUGAGUAACACGUGACUAACCUACCCUUGAGUGGGGGAUAACUGAGGGAAACCUUAGCUAAUACCGCAUAAUACCCACGGGUCAAAAGGAGCAAUUCGCUCGAGGAGGGGGUCGCGGCCGAUUAGUUAGUUGGCAGGGUAAUGGCCUACCAAGACGAUGAU